GAACGAGGAUCAGAUAGCUUGCUAACUGGUCUUAGUGGCGGACGGGUGAGUAACGCGUAAGAAUCUGCCCCUAGGAGAGGGAUACCAACUGGAAACGGUUGUUAAUACCUCAUACGCUGAGGAGUAAAAUGGUUUCAUACCGCCUAGGGAUGAGCUUGCGUCUGAUUAGCUAGUUGGUGGGGUAAUAGCCUACCGAGGCAAUGAUCAGUAGCUGGUCUGAGAGGACAAUCAGCCACACUGGGACUGAGACACGGCCCAGACUCCUACGGGAGGCAGCAGUGAGGAAUUUUCCGCAAUGGGCGAAAGCCUGACGGAGCAAUGCCGCGUGGAGGAAGACGGCCCGUGGGUUGUAAACUCCUUUUCUUGGAGAAGAACAACUGACGGUAUCCAAGGAAUAAGCAUCGUGCUAACUCCGUG
RNAcentral lists this ribosomal RNA (417 nucleotides) under uncultured bacterium. RNAcentral's name for it is "bacterial SSU rRNA". It matches the Rfam family "Bacterial small subunit ribosomal RNA", at positions 64 to 507 of the family's 1533-position model. The record is from RNAcentral.